GAUCAUGGCUCAGGAUGAACGCUGGCGGCGUGCUUAACACAUGCAAGUCGAGCGAAGCAAUUUAAGUGAAGUUUUCGGAUGGAUCUUAGAUUGACUGAGCGGCGGACGGGUGAGUAACGCGUGAGGAACCUGCCUCAAAGAGGGGGACAACAGUUGGAAACGACUGCUAAUACCGCAUAAGCCCACGACCCGGCAUCGGGUAGAGGGAAAAGGAGCAAUCCGCUUUGAGAUGGCCUCGCG
This 240-nucleotide ribosomal RNA is filed under the name uncultured bacterium. Its description in RNAcentral is "partial 16S ribosomal RNA". It matches the Rfam family "Bacterial small subunit ribosomal RNA", at positions 15 to 235 of the family's 1533-position model. The record is from RNAcentral.